UACGGAGGAUGCAAGCGUUAUCCGGAAUGAUUGGGCGUAAAGCGUCCGCAGGUGGCUAUGUAAGUCUGCUGUUAAAGAGUGAGGCUCAACCUCAUAAGAGCAGUGGAAACUACAUGGCUAGAGUGCGUUCGGGGCAGAGGGAAUUCCUGGUGUAGCGGUGAAAUGCGUAGAGCUCGGGAAGAACAUCGGUGGCGAAAGCGCUCUGCUGGACUGCAACUGACACUCGAGGGAACGAAAGCUAGGGGAGCGAAUGGG
This 255-nucleotide ribosomal RNA is filed under the name uncultured bacterium. RNAcentral's name for it is "partial 16S ribosomal RNA". It matches the Rfam family "Bacterial small subunit ribosomal RNA", at positions 524 to 776 of the family's 1533-position model. The record is from RNAcentral.